GACGAACGCUGGCGGCGUGCUUAACACAUGCAAGUCGAACGGUAAGGCCCUUCGGGGUACACGAGUGGCCAACGUGUGAGUACCACGUGGGUGAUCUGCCCUGCACUUCGGGAUAAGCCUGGGAAACUGGGUCUAAUACCGGAUAGGACCCUGGGAUGCAUGUCCUGGGGUGGAAAGCUUUUGCGGUGUGGGAUGGGCCCGCGGCCUAUCAGGUUGUGGGUGGGGUGAUGGCCUACCAAGGCGUCGGCGGGUAGCCGGCCUGAGAGGGUGACCGGCCACACUGGGACGAAGAUACGGCCCAGACGCCUACGGGAGUCAGCAGUGGGGCAUAUUGCACAAGGGGCGCAAGCCUUAUGCAGCGACGCCGCGUGAGGGAUGACGGCCUUAGGGUUGUAAGCCUCUUUCAGCACCGACGAAGCGCAAGUGACGGUAGGUGCAGAAGAAGGACCGGCCAUCUACGUGCCAGCCGCCGCCGUAA
RNAcentral lists this ribosomal RNA (478 nucleotides) under uncultured bacterium. Its description in RNAcentral is "partial 16S ribosomal RNA". It matches the Rfam family "Bacterial small subunit ribosomal RNA", at positions 28 to 523 of the family's 1533-position model. The record is from RNAcentral.